Molecule: non-coding RNA, 30 nt
Filed under: Mus musculus (house mouse)
Lineage: Eukaryota; Metazoa; Chordata; Mammalia; Rodentia; Muridae
Source: RNAcentral
UUACUGCUGUUAUGAAUCAUAACGUAAAUA